This 81-nucleotide small nuclear RNA is filed under the name Tursiops truncatus (common bottlenose dolphin). RNAcentral describes it as "U4 spliceosomal RNA (ENSTTRG00000022415.1)". The stretch from base 1 to 69 matches the Rfam family "U4 spliceosomal RNA". From Rfam's summary of the family: U4 small nuclear RNA (U4 snRNA) is a component of the major U2-dependent spliceosome. Lineage: Eukaryota; Metazoa; Chordata; Mammalia; Artiodactyla; Delphinidae. The record is from RNAcentral.
AGCUUUGUGCAGUGGUAGUAUCGUAGCCAAUAAGGUUUAUCCGAGGCACGAUUACUGCUAAUUGAAAAGGUCUUAUUAGGC